UUUAAAGCUUGCUUUUGUGAGGUCAGCGGCGGACGGGUGAGUAACACGUGGGCAACCUGCCUGUAAGACUGGGAUAACUUCGGGAAACCGGAGCUAAUACCGGAUAAUAUAUUGAACCUCCUGGUUCUUUAUUGAAAGAUGGUUUCGGCUAUCACUUAUGGAUGGGCCCGCGGCGCAUUAGCUAGUUGGUGAGGUAACGGCUCACCAAGGCGACGAUGCGUAGCCGACCUGAGAGGGUGAUCGGCCACACUGGGACUGAGACACGGCCCAGACUCCUACGGGAGGCAGCAGUAGGGAAUCUUCCGCAAUGGACGAAAGUCUGAUGGAGCAACGCCGCGUGAGCGAUGAAGGCCUUCGGGUCGUAAAGCUCUGUUGUUAGGGAAGAACAAGUGCUAGAGGAAUUGCUCGCACCUUGACGGUACCUAACCCAAAAGCCACGGCUAACUACGUGCCCACAACCCGCGUAAUACGUAAGUGGCAAGCGUUGAUCGGAAUUAUUGGGCGUAAAGCGCGCGCAGGUGGUCCUUUAAGUCUGAUGGGAAAGCCCACGGCUCAACCGGGGAGGGUCAUUGGAAACUGGGGAACUUGAGUGCAGAAAAAGAAAGUGGAAUUCCCAGUGUAACGGUGAAAUGCGCUAGAGAUAUAGGAAGAACACCACGUGGGCGAAAGCGCACUUUUCUCGGUCUGUGAACUGACACUCGAGAGCGCGCAAAAGCG
This 717-nucleotide ribosomal RNA is filed under the name Bacillus sp. NBRA10. Its description in RNAcentral is "bacterial SSU rRNA". It matches the Rfam family "Bacterial small subunit ribosomal RNA", at positions 72 to 761 of the family's 1533-position model. Lineage: Bacteria; Bacillati; Bacillota; Bacilli; Caryophanales; Bacillaceae. The record is from RNAcentral.